RNAcentral lists this ribosomal RNA (644 nucleotides) under uncultured bacterium. Its description in RNAcentral is "bacterial SSU rRNA". It matches the Rfam family "Bacterial small subunit ribosomal RNA", at positions 8 to 694 of the family's 1533-position model. The record is from RNAcentral.
AGAGUUUGAUCCUGGCUCAGGACGAACGCUGGCGGUGUGCUUCACACAUGCAAGUCGAACGAGGUAGCAAUACCUAGUGGCGGACGGGUGAGUAACGCGUGGGAAUCUGCCUUUAGAUGGGGGAUAACGAGCCGAAAGGUUCGCUAAUACCGCAUAUGCCGCAAGGUGAAAGGAGUAAUCCGUCUAAAGAUGAGCCCGCGUCCGAUUAGCUAGUUGGUGGGGUAAAGGCCUACCAAGGCGACGAUCGGUAGCUGGUCUGAGAGGAUGAUCAGCCACAAUGGGACUGAGACACGGCCCAUACUCCUACGGGAGGCAGCAGUGGGGAAUUUUACGCAAUGGGGGAAACCCUGACGUAGCGACACCGCGUGAGCGAAGAAGCCCCUUGGGGUGUAAAGCUCUGUCAACAGGAACGAAACAAAUGACGGUACCUGUGGAGGAAGCAUCGGCUAACUACGUGCCAGCAGUCGCGGUAAGACGUAGGAUGCAAGCGUUGUCCGGAUUUAUUGGGCGUAAAGAGUUCGUAGGCGGUUUGUUAAGUCUGAUGUUAAAGACCGGGGCUCAACCUCGGAAAUGCAUUGGAUACUGGCAGACUGGAGUGCAGUAGAGGCUAGUGGAAUUCCCAGUGUAGCGGUGAAAUGCGUAGA